CCGUGUGGUGCAGAUGCUGACCACUGAGGCCCAGAGGGGAGACCUCACCAGCUCCCCACGAGGCGACAUGGCUGAGAACAGGCCGUGGUGCUGUUCCUGCGAGGCAGUGGCACAGAGAGGAAGGAGCGGGGGAGCAGGCGGCUCUUGGAAAUGCCCCUGCCCUGUACGGAGAAGCUCCUGAAGGAACUCACCGGGAGCCAGGGGCUCGCACACUUGCUAUACGGUGGUGUGUUCUCCUUGUGGGAGCACCGCGAGCCCGAGUCCUGGGAUUGCGGUGGGAAGAGACUGGAGGGUUUUAUUCUGAAGCUUUGCUCCAAGGGGCCCAAGGCUUUCUGCACGUUUUGCCCCCACCUGGAGGAGCUCUGCCCUUACCUGCUCGCCUGCUGUUUCCAGUAUUACCAAGGCAGCAGCAUGGAGUGAGCUUCUGGCCAGCACUGUGACACGAGUCUAUGUUAUAAUGCAGAACAAACACGUAGGAUCUUCCGAGAUGCGUCCGCUGCAGGAGAUAAAGCUCAAGAGUUGGAGCUCUGCCCGAGCCUAGCGGGGGGCCCUUGAGCCUGAAGGUCAGGAACAAAGCCUUCAGUUAUUUAACAAGUAUGUAAAUGAUCUCUGUGCUGGCAGCCUUUGGAAAGUCCUGGCUUCUCUGUCCUGCCCUCUUCCUCCCCUUGUGGCGCUCGGUCCACUGUGUUCUCUGGCCAUUUACAAAUCGCUUUCUGAUGCUGCAUCUUCUAGGAGGUGCCCAGGCCACAGGGUGACUUCUUGGCUCGUUCCACGGUGUGAAAAAGAUGGUUCUUGGAAGCUGCCCUUUGUCACAGGCAGCUGAUGCUGUUGAAGUGUCCUUCGUCUUUGUUCUUUGUCAGGGCCCCAAACAGGCUCAUUUAAAGUGUCUCAGAUAACUGUGCAAUUCUGGAGUAAAAGUCUCAACUCUGAGGGA
This is a non-coding RNA of Miniopterus natalensis, 934 nucleotides long. The record is from RefSeq and is a predicted model, not a curated record. NCBI's taxonomy places the organism in Eukaryota, Metazoa, Chordata, Mammalia, Chiroptera, Miniopteridae.